Molecule: ribosomal RNA, 324 nt
Filed under: uncultured bacterium
Lineage: Bacteria
Description: bacterial SSU rRNA
Rfam family: Bacterial small subunit ribosomal RNA
Source: RNAcentral
GAUGAACGCUGGCGGCGUGCCUAACACAUGCAAGUCGAGCGAAGCGAUUAAGAGGAAGUUUUCGGAUGGAAACUUAAUUGACUGAGCGGCGGACGGGUGAGUAACGCGUGGGCAACCUGCCUUAUACAGGGGGAUAACAGUUAGAAAUGACUGCUAAUACCGCAUAAGCGCACAGGAACGCAUGUUCCGGUGUGAAAAACUCCGGUGGUAUAAGAUGGGCCCGCGUCUGAUUAGGUAGUUGGUGGGGCAGCGGCCUACCAAGCCGACGAUCAGUAGCCGACCUGAGAGGGUGACCGGCCACAUUGGGACUGAGACACGGCCCAA